RNAcentral lists this transfer RNA (70 nucleotides) under Podarcis lilfordi (Lilford's wall lizard). RNAcentral describes it as "tRNA.Lys". The stretch from base 5 to 62 matches the Rfam family "tRNA", at positions 8 to 63 of the family's 71-position model. From Rfam's summary of the family: Transfer RNA (tRNA) molecules are approximately 80 nucleotides in length. Their secondary structure includes four short double-helical elements and three loops (D, anti-codon, and T loops). Further hydrogen bonds mediate the characteristic L-shaped molecular structure. tRNAs have two regions of fundamental functional importance: the anti-codon, which is responsible for specific mRNA codon recognition, and the 3' end, to which the tRNAs corresponding amino acid is attached (by aminoacyl-tRNA synthetases). tRNAs cope with the degeneracy of the genetic code in two manners: having more than one tRNA (with a specific anti-codon) for a particular amino acid; and 'wobble' base-pairing, i.e. permitting non-standard base-pairing at the 3rd anti-codon position. Lineage: Eukaryota; Metazoa; Chordata; Lepidosauria; Squamata; Lacertidae. The record is from RNAcentral.
GCAGUGACUCAGUCAGUAGAGCAUGAGAUUCUUAAUCUCAGGGUUGUGGGUUUGAGCCCCAUGUUGGGCA